GAUGAACGCUGGCGGCGUGCCUAAUACAUGCAAGUCGAGCGAACAGACGAGGAGCUUGCUCCUCUGACGUUAGCGGCGGACGGGUGAGUAACACGUGGAUAACCUACCUAUAAGACUGGGAUAACUUCGGGAAGCCGGAGCUAAUACCGGAUAAUAUAUUGAACCGCAUGGUUCAAUAGUGAAAGACGGUUUUGCUGUCACUUAUAGAUGGAUCCGCGCCGCAUUAGCUAGUUGGUAAGGUAACGGCUUACCAAGGCGACGAUGCGUAGCCGACCUGAGAGGGUGAUCGGCCACACUGGAACUGAGACACGGUCCAGACUCCUACGGGAGGCAGCAGUAGGGAAUCUUCCGCAAUGGGCGAAAGCCUGACGGAGCAACGCCGCGUGAGUGAUGAAGGUCUUCGGAUCGUAAAACUCUGUUAUUAGGGAAGAACAAAUGUGUAAGUAACUAUGCACGUCUUGAUGGUACCUAAUCAGAAAGCCACGGCUAACUACGUG
Molecule: ribosomal RNA, 497 nt
Filed under: uncultured bacterium
Lineage: Bacteria
Description: partial 16S ribosomal RNA
Rfam family: Bacterial small subunit ribosomal RNA
Source: RNAcentral